RNAcentral lists this ribosomal RNA (731 nucleotides) under uncultured eukaryote. Its description in RNAcentral is "SSU rRNA". It matches the Rfam family "Eukaryotic small subunit ribosomal RNA", at positions 671 to 1426 of the family's 1831-position model. The record is from RNAcentral.
GGUGUGUACUGGUCUUGAUGGAAGCUUACCUCUUGGUGGGUCGGCAUGCCCUUCGUUGGGUGUGUCGAUUAACCAGGACUUUUACUUUGAGAAAAUUAGAGUGUUCAAAGCAGGCUUUCGCCCGAAUACAUUAGCAUGGAAUAAUAGAAUAGGACGCGCGUCUUUAUUUUGUUGGUUUCUAAAUUCGCCGUAAUGAUUAAUAGGGAUAGUCGGGGGCAUUCGUAUUGCUUGGUCAGAGGUGAAAUUCUUGGAUUCUAGCAAGACGAACUACUGCGAAAGCAUUUGCCAAGGAUGUUUUCAUUGAUCAAGAACGAAGGUUAGGGGAUCGAAAACGAUCAGAUACCGUUGUAGUCUUAACAGUAAACUAUGCCGACUAGGGAUCGGACAAGCACAAUCUAUGACUUGUUCGGCACCUGAAGAGAAAUCUUUAAGUCUAGGUUCGGGGGGGAGUAUGGUCGCAAGGCUGAAACUUAAAGGAAUUGACGGAAGGGCACCACCAGGUGUGGAGCCUGCGGCUUAAUUUGACUCAACACGGGGAAACUCACCAGGUCCAGACACAAUAAGGAUUGACAGAUUGAUAGCUCUUUCUUGAUCUUGUGGUUGGUGGUGCAUGGCCGUUCUUAGUUGGUGGAGUGAUUUGUCUGGUUAAUUCCGAUAACGAACGAGACCUUAACCUGCUAAAUAGACCCGGGGCCUUAGGGAACCGGUUGUCUUCUUAGAGGGACUGUAGG